CCCGCGAGUCAAGUCUAGGUGCACGAUGCAGAAGGCGACCACGGAUGUCACAUCAACAGUCAAGUCUAAAUCCCAUCAUGUGUGGCGUAAGGCGAGAGACAACCCAAGCGUUUGACCUCAGCUGGUGCCUUCCGGUGGCGUAAUGUUCAGCUUCGGAACCCCGACCACUCUGAGACCAGGCCAAUGAUCUCCUGUAUAAUGUUCGCUGCUGCCCUUUGGUUCAUAUUCUAAGGUCUCUUUCUCAGCCUCUCGGUUGCCGUACGACAGCGACCGUUUCGAGGAUAAGCAGAACCAGUCGCUUUCCUGGAAACAAAAUAAAUCAGUUUUUCUUCCUGCAGAGAUUUGAUGCCGACCCGUCUUGCCGAUGUGUGAGGCAGAGCACGGUUGUGAUGACGGUGGAACAGCGACGGAGGACGACAGGACACCAAGCCAGCGGCGACAUCGCCCGUCGUGUUCCUGAGCAGCAGCAACGAGAAAGACAGGCGUGAGCCAGGCCCGCGGGCACGCAAGGUGAGGUCUCCUGGUAAGAUCGCCUACCUCAGGUAUGCCGAUAUUCGUGACGUCGAAGAGAAUAGACGGGGGCGCACACCCCAAAGCGGGCCGAGAAGUCCGGCUACGACCGCUGAUGAGACGCAUGGGUCUGCCCCGUCCAUCCAAAGCCUGGGUCCAUCUUGCCGCUCGCCGUGCCGCCCUGGAAGCCCACCGUCGGGGACGCAA
This 717-nucleotide long non-coding RNA is filed under the name Spirodela polyrhiza (greater duckweed). RNAcentral describes it as "long non-coding RNA (SPOL_LNC001152)". Lineage: Eukaryota; Viridiplantae; Streptophyta; Magnoliopsida; Alismatales; Araceae. The record is from RNAcentral.